UUUUUUUUUUUUUUUUUUGUUAAUAAAUAAAGAGUAGAAUGUGGUCGAUAUAAGGGUUUUAUAAAGUUUAUUGAUCUUCACGGUUGACCUUGGAGAUGUAUUUUACUCUCAUUUCCAUUUUUUUCUUUAUGUUUUCUUUUGUAAUGGUUUUCCUUUAGUUCGAGUUAAAAUGCAACCAGACAAUUUGAAUUUGAUUGCAGGCAG
RNAcentral lists this unclassified non-coding RNA (204 nucleotides) under Hevea brasiliensis (rubber tree). The record is from RNAcentral. Lineage: Eukaryota; Viridiplantae; Streptophyta; Magnoliopsida; Malpighiales; Euphorbiaceae.